GACGAACGCUGGCGGCGUGCCUAAUACAUGCAAGUAGAACGCUGAGGGAGGAGCUUGCUUCUCUGGAUGAGUUGCGAACGGGUGAGUAACGCGUAGGUAACCUGCCUGGUAGCGGGGGAUAACUAUUGGAAACGAUAGCUAAUACCGCAUAAGAGUAGAUGUUGCAUGACAUUUGCUUAAAAGGUGCAAUUGCAUCACUACCAUAUGGACCUGCGUUGUAUUAGCUAGUUGGUGGGGUAACGGCUCACCAAGGCGACGAUACAUAGCCGACCUGAGAGGGUGGUCGGCCACACUGGGAAUGAGACACGGCCCAGACUCCUACGGGAGGCAGCAGUAGGGAAUCUUCGGCAAUGGACGGAAGGCUGAACGAGGAAAGCCGCGUGAGUGAAGAAGGGUGUCGGAUCGGAAAGCUCUGUUGUAAGAGAAGAAAGAGUGUGAGAGUGGAAAGUUCACACUGUGACGGUAUCUGAACAGAAAGGGACGGCUAACUACGUG
This 495-nucleotide ribosomal RNA is filed under the name uncultured bacterium. Its description in RNAcentral is "partial 16S ribosomal RNA". It matches the Rfam family "Bacterial small subunit ribosomal RNA", at positions 28 to 507 of the family's 1533-position model. The record is from RNAcentral.